GUAUGUACAUGGCUACAACGUUAAAAUAUUGUAUCCCAUUAGAACUCCACAAUUAAGUUUUCUUGGGAUAGAGUAGUAAUGGGAUGGGUGAUCUCACAAGAAGUCCUAGUGUUUUACAUGCC
Molecule: non-coding RNA, 122 nt
Organism: Picea glauca (white spruce)
Lineage: Eukaryota; Viridiplantae; Streptophyta; Pinopsida; Pinales; Pinaceae
Source: Rfam